This 64-nucleotide transfer RNA is filed under the name Salmo salar (Atlantic salmon). It matches the Rfam family "tRNA". Rfam says of the family: Transfer RNA (tRNA) molecules are approximately 80 nucleotides in length. RNAcentral also lists the same sequence under 1 other name. The record is from Rfam by way of RNAcentral. Lineage: Eukaryota; Metazoa; Chordata; Actinopteri; Salmoniformes; Salmonidae.
CCCAGUGUGGCUCAGUUGGUAGAGCAUGGUGUUUGCAACGCCAGGGUUGUGGGUUCCACGGGGG